RNAcentral lists this unclassified non-coding RNA (372 nucleotides) under Hevea brasiliensis (rubber tree). The record is from RNAcentral. Lineage: Eukaryota; Viridiplantae; Streptophyta; Magnoliopsida; Malpighiales; Euphorbiaceae.
CUGGUUUAUGGCAAGAGCAAAACUUAGCAGAAAAAUGAUCAAGCUGUUGGAGAAAGCUAACGAGCUUAAAAAUGAUGGCAAAGAGUUAGCCAAUUUACUCUCUCAUCAUAAUCGCAGUAAUAAACAAGAGAUCAGAAGAUAAAUGCUGCACAUAAGGUGGUGGAGGAAUCAUGUGGCUGGUGUUCAAUUAGCUUGCUAAUCAGCAAUAGUUUGUGGUCGUAAAUUAGUUGUUCUUGUAUGCAUGGCUUUUAUUGUUAUUAUUUUGGGUUAAUUUAGUUUCUUAUAAUAUUUUACAAGAAAAAUUUGUGUUGGACCUCAGUUUGUUAUAUUAGUACAGGAGAUCAGACAUAUACAGAAAUUUGUCAUUUUGAG